This 486-nucleotide ribosomal RNA is filed under the name uncultured bacterium. RNAcentral's name for it is "bacterial SSU rRNA". It matches the Rfam family "Bacterial small subunit ribosomal RNA", at positions 28 to 526 of the family's 1533-position model. The record is from RNAcentral.
GAUGAACGCUGGCGGCGUGCUUCAUACAUGCAAGUCGAACGAGGUCCAUGGGAGCUUGCUCCCGGAAGACCUAGUGGCGAACGGGUGCGUAACACGUGAGAAACCUGUCCCCGACAGGGGGAUAACAGUUGGAAACGACUGCUAAUACCCCAUACCACCGGUGGAUCGCAUGGUCCGCCGAUGAAAGUUCCGGCGGUUGGGGAGGGUCUCGCGGCCUAUCAGCUAGUUGGAGAGGUAACGGCUCACCAAGGCAUCGACGGGUAGCUGGUCUGAGAGGAUGAUCAGCCACACUGGGACUGAGACACGGCCCAGACUCCUACGGGAGGCAGCAGUAGGGAAUCUUGCACAAUGGGCGAAAGCCUGAUGCAGCAACGCCGCGUGCGGGAAGAAGGCCCUAGGGUUGUAAACCGCUUUCAGCAGGGAAGAAAAUGACGGUACCUGCAGAAGAAGGUGCGGCCAACUACGUGCCAGCCGCCGCCGUAACAC